CCUGCAUUUUUCCCCCCUUCAAUUACAGUAUGCGGAUCUACAACAUUACCCAGUGAUUUGCUCAUCUUAAAACCUUUCUCAUCCAAUACAAAUCCAUGGGUUAUGACACCAGAAUACGGAGCCUUUCCUUUUGUAGCAAUACUUGUUAAUAAAGAGCUUUGAAACCACCCACGGUGUUGAUCUGAGCCUUCAAGAUAAAUAUCUGCAGGAUAACUAAGGCCAUUC
RNAcentral lists this unclassified non-coding RNA (225 nucleotides) under Hevea brasiliensis (rubber tree). Lineage: Eukaryota; Viridiplantae; Streptophyta; Magnoliopsida; Malpighiales; Euphorbiaceae. The record is from RNAcentral.